This 433-nucleotide ribosomal RNA is filed under the name uncultured bacterium. RNAcentral's name for it is "partial 16S ribosomal RNA". It matches the Rfam family "Bacterial small subunit ribosomal RNA", at positions 29 to 507 of the family's 1533-position model. The record is from RNAcentral.
AACGAACGCUGGCGGCAUGCCUAACACAUGCAAGUCGAACGAGACCUUCGGGUCUAGUGGCGCACGUGUGCGUAACGCGUGGGAACCUGCCCUUAGGUUCGGAAUCACUCCCCGAAAGGGGUGCUAAUACCGGAUAAUGUCUUCGGGCCAAAGAUUUAUCGCCUUUGGAUGGGCCCGCGUUGGAUUAGCUAGUUGGUAGGGUAAAAGCCUACCAAGGCGACGAUCCAUAGCUGGUCUGGGAGGAUGAUCAGCCACACUGGGACUGAGACACGGCCCAGACUCCUACGGGAGGCAGCAGUGGGGAAUAUUGGACAAUGGGCGAAAGCCUGAUCCAGCAAUGCCGCGUGAGUGAUGAAGGCCUUAGGGUUGUAAAGCUCUUUUACCCGGGAUGAUAAUGACAGUACCGGGAGAAUAAGCUCCGGCUAACUCCGUG